This 2153-nucleotide long non-coding RNA is filed under the name Nicotiana tabacum (common tobacco). Its description in RNAcentral is "long non-coding RNA (NTAB_LNC000254)". Lineage: Eukaryota; Viridiplantae; Streptophyta; Magnoliopsida; Solanales; Solanaceae. The record is from RNAcentral.
AUAAAUCAUAGAUCGAACCGCCAAUUUGGAAAAAUUGGGUGUUAUCAUAAAGCUUUGUAUCGCCUAAAUUCUUGUAGCCUUGCUAGCCACUUCAUUGUAUUUUAGUGACGUGCAAUGGCACUCCAGAAGCAUUGUGUUUGCAGUAUGCACCGUGCAAACAAGACCACUUAGUGAACUGGUGACAACAUGAAAUUACACCAUUAGGGAAACAAUGAAAAGAGACAUCAACGAAUAAUGGUAACAACAAUGAACAGUAGAGAUUCAAACACCUACAUACAAGAGAGGAUAACUAGCCUAAGCUUGAUGAAUCAUGCUCGAGUAACCUAAAAUGUUAAAAAGUAUCGAGAAACUCAGUAACCCAGGAUUUGAUUUCUUUGAAACACCAGGAUUUUUUAUUACUAGCUUUACUACUUUAGCUCCAAUAGGAGAGGGGCUUAUACUCAGAAAAGCCCCAGACCCAGAGUAUCAUUAAAGAGAUAUGUUUUUCCUAAUGCUAAGUAAAUCUUCCUACAGAAGAAGAGCACAAUCUUCCUCUCUGAAUAUUUUUUCGAACACACAUAUGGAGAAUUUGAUAUUUUCUCUGCAUAUUCAUCAAAGACUAAACUUUCCGAGAUGAAUGUCCUCACUUCAUACCUAGUAAAUUUUCUCUCUUUUUAAUACCGUCGAGUAAGCAUUUGCACAUCUUUUACAUUCACAUGAUACUCAUACAGCGAUGAGAGAGUUCACGCGAAAAUGGAGUAAUAAAGAAACAGAUCUUAAGAAAUUGUUUAAAAAGACAACUCAAUGUGGCUGGUGCAAAAUUAGAAAACCAGAAGUACCGGAUGUGCGCAAGGAAAAGGAAAAGGCAAAAGCUAAUUAUAUUUAUAGCUUCCUCCAGUUUUUCAUUUAAUUGUUCCUUUACUUGAUUCAAAAGUUACACUUACAAUUUCUCAUUGUUUUUCUUUGUCUAACUAGUAAUAUGAGUUGAACUUAUAAAUCAAUCCCUUAAAUUUACUUACCUUUUAGAAAGAGGGUGGUAAAAUCGAUGGACAGUACGUUUAGGAGACCACUUUUUAAAGAGAGGGUGAUAAGGACAUCGAUACAAAAAAAGUUAGGAGUAUUAAUUUCUCAGUCAAUGUUUUGAAAGUUAUACGAGAACGACUUUCAACAAUAACAAACCAACAACAAUAACAACUAUUCAAUCCUAAUCUAGUAAGAAUCAGCUAUACUGGAGUAACCUCAAUUAUCAACCUUUUGUUCUUCUUUUUUUUCUUUUUUUUUUUUUGAGGAAAUGAUUGUGAUUCAACAAACUCUUACUUUUCUUUAUCUUACUAAGGAGUGAGAGCAGACAUACCCAGCAUCCGAAUGUGGUAUGAAUUGAGCUAUUACAUUCUGAAAAGCUAACAAUGUGUGCAGUACUCAAACAUUAAUUGGAGAUAUCCCCACCCUAGAAAUACAAUUAAUUUGCAGCACAGCAUAGAGCUCAAUUUCGAUACAGCAUAAGAGCAGCAAAAUAGAAAUCCAAACACCCAUACAAAAUAGCCAACAUAAAUACAUGCGCUUUGCCUUUGAGUAACCUAAAAAUGCUGAAAGUCUAACGAAACUCAAGAAUAAACAAAACUGAAAAUUCCACGAAAUGAGGAAAGUCUCACUAAACUCGAGAAUAAAUAAACUGUAAAUUCCAAGAAAUGAGGAGAAAUCCCAAACUCGAUUUCUGUUAUGUUUUGUAUUGAUCCCGGUUCAGAGGCAUCACCAAAUCAUCCUAAGACUAGAUAAAACUUUCACAAAAACCUUUCUGAGGCAAACAUUUUGUCGAACAGCUAACGUGGAUGUAUCAAUCAGGAUCCAAAUCCUCAAAGAUUAAAACUUUAAGCUAAGAUGUUUAUUCUAGAUUCAGACCCAUAAAAAUCUUCUUUUUUUAUCAGACCAAUUGGAUAUCGUUGUUCGCUCUCAGCCUAAGCCUGUGCAUACACAUAUAUUUAAGCUACAGCCAUGAGAAAGCUUCGCAAGAAGAAGGAGAAAUGAAGAAAUAUUUCUUACAAAAUUGAUAAUUGUUACAGAUAGAGGACUCCAACAGUCGACAGGUGCGGUGUACAAGCCAAAGAAAAGCAGAGCCUUGGGCACAAGCGGGCCAACUGUUAUACUACUAGUAAUUUUUACAAUUUCAGUUUAGA